Molecule: long non-coding RNA, 247 nt
Filed under: Capsicum annuum
Lineage: Eukaryota; Viridiplantae; Streptophyta; Magnoliopsida; Solanales; Solanaceae
Description: long non-coding RNA (CANN_LNC005998)
Source: RNAcentral
UUGUCUCUUCCUCAAAUCUCUUUGUGGCGCCUCGAUUACCAGGUCAACCAGCUUACCGCCGUCGGGCUCGAUCAACCCGCAUCGGAUUCGGGCCGGGCCUGGGGUAAGCCGUCCAGGCCCGGCCCGAAAAUGGACGAGUGGGGAUUUGGGUAAAGAGGGAGAGGGAGUCGGGGUUUUGAGAAAAAGAGAAGCCAUUGUUGCCAUUUUGGAGAUGUGUUGAGAUGCUCUUUGGCUUCUUUCUUCUUUU